RNAcentral lists this ribosomal RNA (464 nucleotides) under uncultured bacterium. RNAcentral describes it as "partial 16S ribosomal RNA". It matches the Rfam family "Bacterial small subunit ribosomal RNA", at positions 28 to 507 of the family's 1533-position model. The record is from RNAcentral.
GACGAACGCUGGCGGCGUGCUUAACACAUGCAAGUCGAACGGAAAGGCCCCUUUGGGGGUACUCGAGUGGCGAACGGGUGAGUAACACGUGAGUAACCUGCCCUUGACUUCGGGAUAACUUCAGGAAACUGGGGCUAAUACCGGAUAGGAAUCCUUGCUGCAUGGUGGGGGUUGGAAAGCUUCGGCGGUUUUGGAUGGACUCGCGGCUUAUCAGCUUGUUGGUGGGGUAGUGGCUUACCAAGGCUUUGACGGGUAGCCGGCCUGAGAGGGCGACCGGCCACAUGGGGACUGAGAUAGGGCCCAGACUCCUACGGAGGCAGCAGUGGGGAAUAUUGCACAAUGGGCGGAAGCCUGAUGCAGCAACGCCGCGUGCGGGAUGACGGCCUUCGGGUUGUAAACCGCUUUCAGCAGGGGCGAAGCUUGUGGUGACGGUACCUGCAGAAGAAGCACCGGCUAACUACGUG